GUGGAAGCAAUCAAUAGAAUUUAGACUCAAUUACUUUUCAAAAAAAAAUUAGUGAUGAUCUUGAAUUUAAAUAUAAUCUACAACAAAAUCUUUUGUUUAUUCAAUGCUUAUUCUCCAGUUUCCCUUGUUUUUCUCCUUUCACCUCCCUAGAAUUCUGAUAUUCCAUGUAGUUCUCGCACGUUGUUCGGGACGGAGGGGGGUAAUGCAUCUCCUGUUUCUGUAAGAGCUGCAUCUUUCCAGAAUUGUACUGGAUAUCACUCACUAUAUCUUUAUCUGAUGGUGGAAAGUGGAUGCUCGAAUCAGAUUUGUUAAAGUUAACUGUGAAGUACCGAUUGUCUUCAUGGAUGAGAAGGUAGACACCUUUGCAACGACAGUCAUCGAAAUAGCUAUACAGCAUACGCCGUAGUGUGCCUUUCCGUCGGUAACGCAUCUGCACGAGGCUACGGCGCUCGGUCCAUGGCUUCUUGACACGCUUUGAGUUUGAUGCCUUCAUAAUGUAGCAAUUAAUUCCAAUUAAGAUGAAGGAUCUGAGACUUGAUAAUUAUCACUUGGCAUUAUGAGAAGAGAUUUCAAUUUAUAGCUACGAGCGAGUGUAAUACAGUGGCCUCCAUUGAGUGCUAAUGUCGCUUUUUAAAGGUGUACUUCUGUUGAAUGUAGUUGUUUUGCCGCGGUGCUUGCAUGCUUGGACCUAUGAUCUGCGAUCCGAAACCGUGGCCCAUGCCAUUUGACUCGCGAUUUAACUCGGCCAUGAUUUACAAUCCGAAACCGUGCGCCUGUCACGGUUGGGAAAAAUUAAAGCAAUUGCAGAAGUUAUACCAGCGACUUGUCAGAAGAUAGUAUG
Molecule: small RNA, 841 nt
Filed under: Histoplasma capsulatum
Lineage: Eukaryota; Fungi; Ascomycota; Eurotiomycetes; Onygenales; Ajellomycetaceae
Also listed under: 1 other name
Description: hypothetical RNA
Source: RNAcentral